GGUGAGGUGGCCGAGUUGGUUAUGGCGCCAGGUUAAGGUCCUUCUCCUUAGCAUCUGCUGAGCAAUCAGCUUCCUGGUCACGAAAGUGGCGCGGGUUCGAGUCCCGUCCUCAUCA
This 115-nucleotide transfer RNA is filed under the name Curvularia kusanoi. Its description in RNAcentral is "Cochliobolus kusanoi tRNA". It matches the Rfam family "tRNA". Rfam says of the family: Transfer RNA (tRNA) molecules are approximately 80 nucleotides in length. Their secondary structure includes four short double-helical elements and three loops (D, anti-codon, and T loops). Lineage: Eukaryota; Fungi; Ascomycota; Dothideomycetes; Pleosporales; Pleosporaceae. The record is from Rfam by way of RNAcentral.